AAUCAACGCUGGCGGCGUGCCUGACACAUGCAAGUCGAACGCGAAAGUGGAGCAAUCCAUGAGUAGAGUGGCAAACGGGUGAGUAACACGUGGGUGACCUGCCUUAGAGUGGGGGAUAACGUCCCGAAAGGGACGCUAAUACCGCAUAACAUGCUGCCUUUUAAGAGGUGGACAUCAAAGCCGGGGACCGCAAGGCCUGGCGCUUAAAGAGGGGCCCGCGCCUGAUUAGCUAGUUGGUGGGGUAAUGGCUCACCAAGGCAACGAUCAGUAUCCGGCCUGAGAGGGCGGACGGACACACUGGGACUGAGACACGGCCCAGACUCCUACGGGAGGCAGCAGUGGGGAAUUGUUCGCAAUGGGCGCAAGCCUGACGACGCAACGCCGCGUGGAGGAUGAAGAUCUUCGGGUUGUAAACUCCUUUCGAUCGAGACGAAUGGCCCUUGGGCUAACAUCCUGAGGGAGUGACGGUACCGAGAGAAGAAGCCCCGGCUAAACUCCGUGCCAGCAGCCG
This 511-nucleotide ribosomal RNA is filed under the name uncultured bacterium. RNAcentral's name for it is "bacterial SSU rRNA". It matches the Rfam family "Bacterial small subunit ribosomal RNA", at positions 32 to 517 of the family's 1533-position model. The record is from RNAcentral.